This 72-nucleotide transfer RNA is filed under the name Camelus ferus (Wild Bactrian camel). It matches the Rfam family "tRNA". Rfam says of the family: Transfer RNA (tRNA) molecules are approximately 80 nucleotides in length. Their secondary structure includes four short double-helical elements and three loops (D, anti-codon, and T loops). The record is from Rfam by way of RNAcentral. Lineage: Eukaryota; Metazoa; Chordata; Mammalia; Artiodactyla; Camelidae.
GAGGAUACAGCUCCGUGGUAGAGCGUGUGCCCAGCAUGCAUGAAGUCUUGGGUUCAAUCCCCAGUUACCUCU